UACGGGGGGGGUAAGCGUUGUUCGGAAUUACUGGGCGUAAAGGGUCUGUAGGUGGCUUGCUAAGUCAGACGUGAAAUCCCUCAGCUUAACUGGGGAACUGCGUCUGAUACUGGCAAGCUUGAGUGCAGGAGAGGAGCGCGGAAUUCCAGGUGUAGCGGUGAAAUGCGUAGAUAUCUGGAGGAACACCGGUGGCGAAGGCGGCGUUCUGGACUGCAACUGACACUGAGAGACGAAAGCCAGGGGAGCAAACGGG
This 253-nucleotide ribosomal RNA is filed under the name uncultured bacterium. Its description in RNAcentral is "partial 16S ribosomal RNA". It matches the Rfam family "Bacterial small subunit ribosomal RNA", at positions 524 to 776 of the family's 1533-position model. The record is from RNAcentral.